AGCGAAGGAUCACGAUAGCAUGAUGUUUUUCAUGGAUGGCGUCGUGGAUUCGGCGUGAUUGAAGGCGAUUCGUGGAUUCGGAUUGUGGGCUCGUGGAUUCGAGUGGCGUUCGUGGAUUCGGACGUGUGCGAGGCGUUCGUGGAUUCGAACGUGAGGGCGUGGACAACCUGGAGGGUUGCGCGAGAUUCGUAAGAGGUUAAGAGAGAUCGAGUCCAUGGAGUCGGUAAUCACCUUGUAAUCUUUUUUCUUAGUGAAUUAUUUUUUCGCGUGUUGAUCCCGUGGGUUUUUCUCCAAGUUGAAGUUUUUCCACGUAAAUCUCAAUGUGAUUUUUAUUUUUCGCAUUUAUUUUUAUCGCAUUGA
Molecule: long non-coding RNA, 360 nt
Filed under: Ananas comosus (pineapple)
Lineage: Eukaryota; Viridiplantae; Streptophyta; Magnoliopsida; Poales; Bromeliaceae
Description: long non-coding RNA (ACOM_LNC007186)
Source: RNAcentral